This 25-nucleotide non-coding RNA is filed under the name Cricetulus griseus (Chinese hamster). The record is from RNAcentral. Lineage: Eukaryota; Metazoa; Chordata; Mammalia; Rodentia; Cricetidae.
GUGGGUAGUUGAUGAUUUGUGGCAU